GGAGGUGGUGAUGGUUAAGUGUUUGGGGUAGGUAGAGGAUUUAGCUUUUGGGUGAGGGUGUUUAACCGUAGUGACUGAUUGUUGAGAGAAGGUGGGUUGGAUGAUGUCGAGAUCUUAUGGAGGAGAUACUUCACAAAGUCUUCAGAACACCAAUAUCAGAUGACAACUUUAGAAACCUUUUGAAGAAGAUGUUUCUGAGCAGAUACAACUCCUUUGGAUAUUGUUACGAGUGGCUUCUUCAUUUUCACCACUUGUUUAGGCUGUCAACACUAAGAUAUUAUUCCUAAUUCCAUUUCACAUUUUUGCUUUAUGUUGCCAUAGUAUCUCAAGUCGUUGGGUAACGUGAUUAUCAGUAACUUAAGUUUUGCAUUAGCCCGAUUACAAUGAUCACUUUCUUAUUCAUCAUCUUCCACAAACUCAUCUAUGGUUGAUCUUAUUAUCCAUGGUCUUUAAGCGCGGGUGGAUGAGAUAUAUGAGCAUAAAGUAAUAUUAAAUGAUUUGUAUUGUACUUAAGGAAAAUGAGAGUGUCCCAUCUAAGAAAUCGUGCAGGUGCACCUUUGUAAACAUCAGCGAGGACGUUGAAUCCAUAAGAGUGAAGUCUUUGAAGAUCAUUCCAUUGUUCAUCCUUUUUAUUAUACUUUUUUUCUGUUCUUCUUCAUAUUUUUCCUCUUCUUUGUCAUCUUUUUCUUCUUCAUUGGCUUGUGAGAGUGGAGGCAGCUUACCCACCUUGUUUUGGUGUAAUCUUCUUCGAUAGUCAAGUUUAUUUGAUUGGCCACUAUGUGAAAGUUAAGGUUUGAAGGAAUGGUUAGGGAAGGGAAAUUGCAGAUGGUUUGAGAGAAUUUCAGAGAUCAAGAGUCUUUUGACAAAAGGUGUGAGAAGAAUAGGUUACAAGCAUGGUUUAUAAGGUAUGAAAAUGAUGGUAAAUAUCUUAGAAAGGAAGAGUUUUUAUGGAACUAGGUUCGACAAGUAAUGAUUACCAUCAUGUCUCAAUAAAUGCAUGUCGUAUGG
This 1008-nucleotide long non-coding RNA is filed under the name Vigna radiata. RNAcentral's name for it is "long non-coding RNA (VRAD_LNC015934)". Lineage: Eukaryota; Viridiplantae; Streptophyta; Magnoliopsida; Fabales; Fabaceae. The record is from RNAcentral.